GAUGAACGCUAGCGAUAGGCUUAACACAUGCAAGUCGAGGGGCAGCAUGGUCUUAGCUUGCUAAGACUGAUGGCGACCGGCGCACGGGUGCGUAACGCGUAUGCAACUUGCCUCACAGAGGGGGAUAACCCGUCGAAAGACGGACUAAUACCGCGUACACUCUAUUUUGGGCAUCCAAGGUAGAGGAAAUGAAAUUCGCUGUGAGAUAGGCAUGCGUCCCAUUAGCUAGUUGGUGAGGUAACGGCUCACCAAGGCGACGAUGGGGAGGGGAACUGAGAGGUGGAACCCCCACACUGGUACUGAGACACGGACCAGACUCCUACGGGAGGCAGCAGUGAGGAAUAUUGGUCAAUGGGCGAGGGCCUGAACCAGCCAAGUCGCGUGAAGGAUGACUGUCUUAUGGAUUGUAAACUUCUUUUGUAGGGGAAUAAAGAGGGGCACGUGUGCCCCAGUGAAUGUACCCUACGAAUAAGCAUCGGCUAACUCCGUG
RNAcentral lists this ribosomal RNA (490 nucleotides) under uncultured bacterium. RNAcentral describes it as "partial 16S ribosomal RNA". It matches the Rfam family "Bacterial small subunit ribosomal RNA", at positions 28 to 507 of the family's 1533-position model. The record is from RNAcentral.